GAUGAACGCUAGCGGGAGGCCUAACACAUGCAAGCCGAGCGGUAGAGUUUCUUCGGAAACUUGAGAGCGGCGCACGGGUGCGUAACACGUGUGCAACCUACCUUUAUCUGGGGGAUAGCCUUUCGAAAGGAAGAUUAAUACCCCAUAAUAUAAUGAUUGGCAUCAAUUAUUAUUGAAAACUCCGGUGGAUAGGGAUGGGCACGCGCAAGAUUAGAUAGUUGGUGAGGUAACGGCUCACCAAGUCAAUUAUCUUUAGGGGUCCUGAGAGGGAGAUCCCCCACACUGGUACUGAGACACGGACCAGACUCCUACGGGAGGCAGCAGUGAGGAAUAUUGGACAAUGGGUGAGAGCCUGAUCCAGCCAUCCCGCGUGAAGGAUGACGGUCCUAUGGAUUGUAAACUUCUUUUGUACAGGGAUAAACCUACCCUCGUGAGGGUAGCUGAAGGUACUGUACGAAUAAGCACCGGCUAACUCCGUG
RNAcentral lists this ribosomal RNA (479 nucleotides) under uncultured bacterium. RNAcentral's name for it is "partial 16S ribosomal RNA". It matches the Rfam family "Bacterial small subunit ribosomal RNA", at positions 28 to 507 of the family's 1533-position model. The record is from RNAcentral.